RNAcentral lists this ribosomal RNA (453 nucleotides) under uncultured bacterium. RNAcentral's name for it is "bacterial SSU rRNA". It matches the Rfam family "Bacterial small subunit ribosomal RNA", at positions 340 to 786 of the family's 1533-position model. The record is from RNAcentral.
UACGGAAGGCAGCAGUGGGGAAUAUUGCACAAUGGGCGCAAGCCUGAUGCAGCCAUGCCGCGUGUAUGAAAAAGGCCUUCGGGUUGUAAAGUACUUUCAGUCGUGAGGAAGGUGUUAAGGUUAAUAACCUUAGCAAUUGACGUUAGCGACAGAAGAAGCACCGGCUAACUCCGUGCCAGCAGCCGCGGUAAUACGGAGGGUGCGAGCGUUAAUCGGAAUUACUGGGCGUAAAGGGCACGCAGGCGGUUAAUUAAGUUGGAUGUGAAUCCCCGGGCUUAACCUGGGAAUGGCAUUCAAGACUGGUUAGCUAGAGUCUUGUAGAGGGGGUAGAAUUCCAUGUGUAGCGGUGAAAUGCGUAGAGAUGUGGAGGAAUACCGGUGGCGAAGGCGGCCCCUGGACAAAGACUGACGCUCAUGUGCGAAAGCGUGGGGAGCGAAACAGGGAUUAGAUACC